AUGGCUUCCGACCCGAACAAAGAUUCCAAAUCGGAGGGGCUGUCUGAGGCAAAAAAGGGGGCUUCCCCGACAGCUGGUGCAGGCCUUCCCAGUCCUUUUGAUUUUUCCAACAUGAGCAGCUUGCUUAAUGAUCCAUCUAUAAGGGAGAUGGCUGAGCAAAUCGCCAGCGACCCUGUAUUCAACCAGAUGGCUGAGCAGCUUCAGAAAAGUGCGCAGGGUGCAGGGGAACAGGGUGUUCCAAAUUUGGAUCCUCAAGCAUACAUGGAAACCAUGACACAAGUUAUGCAGAAUCCUCAGUUUAUGUCAAUGGCGGAGCGUCUUGGGAAUACUCUUAUGCAGGAUCCUGCAAUGUCCAGUAUGCUUGAGAACUUGACUAGUCCAGCUCACAAAGAGCAGCUUGAAGAGCGAAUGGCCCGUAUCAAGGAUGAUCCGUCUUUGAAGCCAAUUCUUGAUGAGAUAGAGCGUGGUGGUCCAUCUGCAAUGGUGAAGUACUGGAAUGACCCUGAGAUUCUUCAAAAGAUUGGCCAGGCUAUGUCAUUGAACUUCCCAGUAGAUGCUGCUACUUCCACUGUACUAUCUGGACCUCAAGAAACUGAUGAAGAAGGCGAGGAUGAUGAUGAGUCCAUUGUCCAUAACACCGCCAGUGUCGGUGAUGCAGAGGGUCUGAAGAAAGCAUUAGAUGGUGGAGCAAACAAGGAUGAAGAAGAUUUGGAGGGAAGAAGGGCCUUGCAUUUUGCAUGUGGAUACGGCGAGUUGAAGUGUGCAGAAAUCCUUCUGGAGGCAGGCGCUGCAGUUGACGCACUGGAUAAGAACAAGAACACCCCGCUGCACUAUGCCGCUGGAUACGGUCGGAAGGAAUGCGUGGAUCUUCUCUUGAAGCACGGCGCUGCUGUCACGCUCCAAAAUCUGGAUGGGAAGACCCCCAUCGAGGUGGCCAAGCUCAACAGCCAGGGCGAGGUGGUGAAGCUGCUUGAGCAGGACGUGUUCCUAUGA
RNAcentral lists this ribosomal RNA (993 nucleotides) under Triticum aestivum (bread wheat). Its description in RNAcentral is "partial small subunit ribosomal RNA". Lineage: Eukaryota; Viridiplantae; Streptophyta; Magnoliopsida; Poales; Poaceae. The record is from RNAcentral.